Molecule: ribosomal RNA, 127 nt
Filed under: Salmonella enterica
Lineage: Bacteria; Pseudomonadati; Pseudomonadota; Gammaproteobacteria; Enterobacterales; Enterobacteriaceae
Also listed under: 3 other names
Description: partial 16S ribosomal RNA
Rfam family: Bacterial small subunit ribosomal RNA
Source: RNAcentral
AAAUUGAAGAGUUUGAUCAUGGCUCAGAUUGAACGCUGGCGGCAGGCCUAACACAUGCAAGUCGAACGGUAGCACAGAGAGCUUGCUCUCGGGUGACGAGUGGCGGACGGGUGAGUAAUGUCUGGGA